ACUGAACGCUGGGGCAUGCCUUACACAUGCAAGUCGAACGGUAACAGGUCUUCGGAUGCUGACGAGUGGCGAACGGGUGAGUAAUACAUCGGAACGUGCCUAGUAGUGGGGGAUAACUACUCGAAAGAGUGGCUAAUACCGCAUGAGAUCUACGGAUGAAAGCAGGGAAUCGCAAGACCUUGUGCUACUAGAGCGGCCGAUGGCAGAUUAGGUAGUUGGUGGGAUAAAAGCUUACCAAGCCGACGAUCUGUAGCUGGUCUGAGAGGACGAUCAGCCACACUCGGACUGAGACACGGCUCAGCCUCCUACGGGAGGCAGCAGUGUGGAAUUAUGGACAAUGGGCGCCAGCCUGAUCCAGCAAUGCCGCGUGCAGGAUGAAGGCCUUCGGGUUGUAAACUGCUUUUGUACGGAACGAAAAGCCCCGGGUUAAUACCCUGGGGUCAUGACGGUACCGUAAGAAUAAGCACCGGCUAACUACGUGCCAGCCGCCGCCGUAA
RNAcentral lists this ribosomal RNA (497 nucleotides) under uncultured bacterium. RNAcentral describes it as "partial 16S ribosomal RNA". It matches the Rfam family "Bacterial small subunit ribosomal RNA", at positions 30 to 523 of the family's 1533-position model. The record is from RNAcentral.